GAAAUGCGAUAAGUAGUGUGAAUUGCAGAAUUCAGUGAAUCAUCGAAUCUUUGAACUCACAUUGCGCCCUUUGGUAUUCCAAAGGGCAUGCCUGUUUGAGCGUCAUUUGUACCCUCAAGCUUUGCUUGGUGUUGGGCGUCUUGUCUCUAGCUUUGCUGGAGACUCGCCUUAAAGUAAUUGGCAGCCGGCCUACUGGUUUCGGAGCGCAGCACAAGUCGCACUCUCUAUCAGCAAAGGUCUAGCAUCCAUUAAGCCUUUUUUCAACUUUUGACCUCGGAUCAGGUAGGGAUACCCGCUGAACUUAAGC
Molecule: unclassified non-coding RNA, 307 nt
Filed under: plant metagenome
Description: partial contains 5.8S ribosomal RNA, internal transcribed spacer 2, and large subunit ribosomal RNA
Rfam family: 5.8S ribosomal RNA (bases 1-105)
Source: RNAcentral